Molecule: ribosomal RNA, 253 nt
Filed under: uncultured bacterium
Lineage: Bacteria
Description: partial 16S ribosomal RNA
Rfam family: Bacterial small subunit ribosomal RNA
Source: RNAcentral
GACAGAGGCCCCGAGCGUUAGGCGGAAUCACUGGGCUUAAAGCGUGUGUAGGCGGGCCCGUAAGUGUCUUGUGAAAUCCCACGGCUCAACCGUGGAACUGCUGGGCAUACUGCGGGUCUUGGGCCAACUAGGGGCAGCCGGAACAAGCGGUGGAGCGGUGAAAUGCGUAGAUAUCGUUUGGAACGCCAAUGGUGAAAACAGCUCGCUGGGGGUGUGCUGACACUGAGACACGAAAGCCAGGGGAGCAAACGGG